Molecule: long non-coding RNA, 647 nt
Organism: Stomoxys calcitrans (stable fly)
Lineage: Eukaryota; Metazoa; Arthropoda; Insecta; Diptera; Muscidae
Exons: 3
Source: RefSeq, a predicted model, not a curated record
GCUUUUGCAUAAUAAUGGAUCGCUUCCUUCGCUACCAUUGACUUACACUACAAACAUCAUAGAAUAAUAUGACAGUAUGUCUCCAAUACUAAACGCUAUAGGAUACCACACAUAAGUGGCCAAUUAUGGCUGAUUUGAAAGACAGCCGAGAUUCUUCUAAACAUAAAAUACAAAGAGACGGGAAACUGCGUUUAACAGCUAUUAUUGGUGACAUUUAGCAUAAAUAUCCUGUUAGUCAAUCCAAACGACAUCAUUUUAACUCCAAAGCACAUAAAAUUGGGCUUAAUAAAGCAAUUCGUGAAAAAAUGGAGCAACAAUAAAAUACCUUGAACAGGGUUUUCCACGAUUUACGAGCGGAAAAUUAAAAGAAGGUCCCCGACUACGGAAAUUGGUAAAUGAUGAGAAAUUCAUACAACAAGUAAAAAAGACAUGGAGUGGUUUUGUUUUAGUGUGGAAAAAUUUUCUUGGAAAACCGAAAAGUGAAAAUUAUGAGCAUAUAGUUAACAACAUGAUCGGCUUACCAUGCAAUAGGUUGCAAAAUGCCAAUAAAAUUACACUAUGUGCUUGCUCAUUUGGAAAGAUUUCCAUUAAGUGUAGGGCAGCUGAGUGAUGAGCAAGGUGAAAAAUUUCUCCAGGAAGUAUUUAAA